MicroRNA precursor from Nicotiana attenuata, 96 nucleotides. It matches the Rfam family "MIR6152 microRNA precursor family". NCBI's taxonomy places the organism in Eukaryota, Viridiplantae, Streptophyta, Magnoliopsida, Solanales, Solanaceae. The record is from Rfam.
UGGACAAAUUAUUGUAUUCGACUGUAUUCACGGCGUGAAACAGGGGAUUGCACUAUUUUUAAAUGGAAAGUGAAUCAAUUAACAUAAUAGACUCCU